Molecule: ribosomal RNA, 253 nt
Filed under: uncultured bacterium
Lineage: Bacteria
Description: partial 16S ribosomal RNA
Rfam family: Bacterial small subunit ribosomal RNA
Source: RNAcentral
UACGUAGGGGGCUAGCGUUGUUCGGAAUUACUGGGCGUAAAGCGCUCGUAGGCGGCUUUGUACGUCAGCGGUGAAAGCCCGGAGCUCAACUCCGGAAUUGCCUUUAAGACUGCAUCGCUAGAGUUGUGGAGAGGUAAGUGGAAUUCCGAGUGUAGAGGUGAAAUUCGUAGAUAUUCGGAAGAACACCAGUGGCGAAGGCGACACACUGGGCCAUUACUGACACUGAGGCGCGAAAGCGUGGGGAGCAAACAGG